GCAGUCGAGCGAACAGACGAGGAGCUUGCUCCUUUGACGUUAGCGGCGGACGGGUGAGUAACACGUGGGUAACCUACCUAUAAGACUGGGAUAACUUCGGGAAACCGGAGCUAAUACCGGAUAAUAUUUCGAACCGCAUGGUUCGAUAGUGAAAGAUGGCUCUGCUAUCACUUAUAGAUGGACCUGCGCCGUAUUAGCUAGUUGGUAAGGUAACGGCUUACCAAGGCAACGAUACGUAGCCGACCUGAGAGGGUGAUCGGCCACACUGGAACUGAGACACGGUCCAGACUCCUACGGGAGGCAGCAGUAGGGAAUCUUCCGCAAUGGGCGAAAGCCUGACGGAGCAACGCCGCGUGAGUGAUGAAGGUCUUCGGAUCGUAAAACUCUGUUAUUAGGGAAGAACAAACGUGUAAGUAACUGUGCACGUCUUGACGGUACCUAAUCAGAAAGCCACGGCUAACUACGUGCCAGCAGCCGCGGUAAUACGUAGGUGGCAAGCGUUAUCCGGAAUUAUUGGGCGUAAAGCGCGCGUAGGCGGUUUUUUAAGUCUGAUGUGAAAGCCCACGGCUCAACCGUGGAGGGUCAUUGGAAACUGGAAAACUUGAGUGCAGAAGAGGAAAGUGGAAUUCCAUGUGUAGCGGUGAAAUGCGCAGAGAUAUGGAGGAACACCAGUGGCGAAGGCGACUUUCUGGUCUGUAACUGACGCUGAUGUGCGAAAGCGUGGGGAUCAAACA
Molecule: ribosomal RNA, 734 nt
Filed under: uncultured Staphylococcus sp.
Lineage: Bacteria; Bacillati; Bacillota; Bacilli; Caryophanales; Staphylococcaceae
Description: bacterial SSU rRNA
Rfam family: Bacterial small subunit ribosomal RNA
Source: RNAcentral